RNAcentral lists this ribosomal RNA (492 nucleotides) under uncultured bacterium. Its description in RNAcentral is "partial 16S ribosomal RNA". It matches the Rfam family "Bacterial small subunit ribosomal RNA", at positions 29 to 507 of the family's 1533-position model. The record is from RNAcentral.
AGUGAACGCUGGCGGUAGGCCUAACACAUGCAAGUCGAACGGCAGCACAGUAAGAGCUUGCUCUUACGGGUGGCGAGUGGCGGACGGGUGAGGAAUACAUCGGAAUCUACUUUUUCGUGGGGGAUAACGUAGGGAAACUUACGCUAAUACCGCAUACGACCUACGGGUGAAAGCAGGGGAUCUUCGGACCUUGCGCGAUUGAAUGAGCCGAUGUCGGAUUAGCUAGUUGGCGGGGUAAAGGCCCACCAAGGCGACGAUCCGUAGCUGGUCUGAGAGGAUGAUAAGCCACACUGGAACUGAGACACCGUCCAGACUCCUACGGGAGGCAGCAGUGGGGAAUAUUGGACAAUGGGCGCAAGCCUGAUCCAGCCAUACCGCGUGGGUGAAGAAGGCCUUCGGGUUGUAAAGCCCUUUUGUUGGGAAAGAAAAGCAGCAGGUUAAUACCCCGCUGUUCUGACGGUACCCAAAGAAUAAGCACCGGCUAACUUCGUG